This is a long non-coding RNA of Mus musculus (house mouse), 2173 nucleotides long. RefSeq annotates it as predicted gene, 53380. The record is from RefSeq and is a predicted model, not a curated record. Lineage: Eukaryota; Metazoa; Chordata; Mammalia; Rodentia; Muridae. The transcript has 2 exons.
CCCCGGUGCGACACUCACAGUGGCGCCGCGGCUGCUCCGGCCAGCUGGGGACAGUCAGUGCUGCCGGUGCCCAGGUCCGCGCUGAGCCCGAGGCUCUGCAGAGCGAGCUCACAGCCCGCAGGUAGCCGGCCAUCCCGAGCACGCGAGGUCCGAGCACGCCGCUGCACCGGGCUGUGCGGUGGGGACUCUAGGCUGGCCCUGGUGGCUGGGACCCAACCGGGGCGGAGCUGCAGAACCUGCCGCCCCAUUGGGUCUCACCCGGGAGAAGGCGGGUCCACGCCAGGGCAGGAGCCUGCUCGACACCCUUGGGCCUGUUCCAGAGCUCAGGCGGCCCCAGUGCUGAGCCCGCGCUUUCUGGGAGCCUCCAUAUAUCCUCAAAGCAUCAGGUACCGGGGAGACCCAUCGGGCCGCGGGGGCUCACGGCUGCAAGACUCCCCGCUUCCGUUAGAAUGUCAGCUGCAGACACGUCGCCUUAGUCCCCUGCGUCCUUUGCGUUUAGCUGACCGACGGACCUGAGGCGCUUUCAUCAAGACAAUGACAAGCUUUGCCGUCUUGAACCUAGACCAUGGCAACUUGGGUCUCCCCCAGGUAGCGUCCAGUUGGGUGGACUAACCAGGAUCGAGAGUUGAAAUGCCAAGUACGGUGGAGGCAAGAGGAUGAGAAGUUAGGCUACAUACCAAGUUCUAGACCAGCCUGGGCUAUAUGAGACGCUGCGGGGCGGGGCGGGGGGGGGGGCGGCUGGAAAUCCUCCUUCUGCUCCUGACUAGGCCAAACUCCUAGCCCCAAAGUCCUUCAUCAUGGCCGACUCUGUCUCUUCUGGACAUAAGAGUGCCUGCCAGGAGACUUCUGUGACAUUUGUGUGUAAAGGUUUGAGGUGAGGCACAGCUUUGGCUGAAAACUUAAGCAACAGAAGCAAACCAACCCCAGUGUGGGGUCAUCACGCUUUUCAUUCAGCGUUGAAGAAUGAAAUUAUGUCAUCUGCAGGGAAACGGAUGGAACUAAAGAUCACUGUUAACAACAAGGAAAACAAGCAAGCAAACAAACAGACUUCCAAGCAGAUAUGGUUCUAGCCUGCAAUCCUAGCACUUGGGAACCAGAAGGAGGCUCAGAAGUUCAAGGUCAGCUUCGCCUUUAAGUUGAGUUUAAGGCCAACUUGAGAUGUGUAAGGAAGCUGACCCUCCCCCGCCCCCAACACACACACAAACACACCUAAACUGACAUCUUGUUUUCUCUCCUGUGCAGAAUACAUAUAUAAUGACAGUAGAAGAGGUGAUAUAUGAGGGGAGGCAGGACCUAAAGCGGGGCGGGGCAAGAGAUAAUAACGAACAUCGAGAAACAAAUAUGGACGUUUUCUCUCACAUGUGAAACCUAGAUUUAAUUCUGUGUGUGCACAGGACACGGAAGCAGAAAGGCAACAGUUCGUGUGGAGGAAGAGGACAAAUUGGAGGAGGGAGAAGAAUGAGAGCAAAGAACCAGAAUGGAUGUGUGUCUGUGUAUGUGUGCAUGCAUGGAUGUGUGUGUAUGUAUGUGUGAAAAUGUCAUAAUUACUUUGUAUGAUAAUUUAAAAAAAUUUAAUGUUUCAAUAGUAAAGUAUAUGUUAUAUGUAUUUUAUUUUAUUUAUUUGGUUGUUCCUUUUUAAAAGAGGUUUUAUUUAUUUUGUGUAUGAGUAUUUCAUCCCCAUGCAUGUGUGUGUACCACAUGAGUGCUUGGUGCCCUGGGACAUCAGAACAGGGCAUCAGAUUUGCUGGAACCAGAGUUACAGGUGGUUGUGAGCCACCAUGUGGGUGCUGGGACUCAAAUUCCCUAUUUAUUUGGUUUUUCGAGACAGUUUCUUUCUCUGUGUAGCCCUAGCUGUCCUGGAGCUCACUCUGUAGACCAGGCUGGGCUUGAACUCAGAUCUACCUGCCUCUGGCUCAGGAGUGCUGAGAUUAAAGGCGUGUGGUAUGUAACAAUGCUCGUUUGCUUGUUUGUUUGUUUGUUGGGUCUGGGUUGUUUGUUUGUUUGUUUGUUUGUUUUUGAGAUAGGGUCUCACUUUGUAGCAGCUCUGGAUGACCUGGUAUCCUGGUAUUCACCAUGUAGUUCAGGCUGGCCUUGAACUUAUAAUAGGCUGUCCACCUGUCUAAUCCACUUGUCUUUUACUCUGGAGUUCAGGAAUUAAAGGUAAUUGCCACGA